UGUUUUCCGGGUUUGGUCAGGUGAUGUUCGACAUAUACCCUAUUAUGCUGCAGGUUAUGUUCUGUGUAAUGCAUUCGUGCAAUACAUACCAUUCCGUACAAUAUCACAUCUGCAUACCUCAGAUUGAAAAUAAGCACCUCAUCAUCAAGAAUCUCUUCUCAGAUCCAUAUUCGGCCACCUGAGCCAGCUGGAAUCUUGGUUGCAGUGGGACUUCACUGCAAAUGAUAUUAUAAUGUUUACAAAAUGUCAGGGAUGAAUGCUGCAGGUCCAGCCUCUCCUCUGAUCUCACUGAACGUUGGUUGUCAUGGCAGCUGUGUGCCGGUGGGGGUCAGCGAGGAAACUCAUCUCUGUUUGCUGUAGCUCAUUGCUCCGCUGUAAUAUCAGCACCGGAGACACCUGGGCCCGCUGACACAGGACCUCAGAGAGAGCAGUGGACUGGCAACCCCCAGUGAUUGCUUUCUCCAGCGUCCGGAACUCCACUCAGUACACACCAUUAACCUGUGGCUCACGGAGCAGGACAUAUUAGUAACCUCACUCAUAAUAACUUCCUCAAGACGCACACACAAUAGACACUGACCUGCAAAGAGUCACUAAACCCCCCAAAAAAAAG
Sinocyclocheilus anshuiensis is the source of this 610-nucleotide long non-coding RNA. RefSeq lists it as uncharacterized. The record is from RefSeq and is a predicted model, not a curated record. Lineage: Eukaryota; Metazoa; Chordata; Actinopteri; Cypriniformes; Cyprinidae. The transcript is spliced from 3 exons.